RNAcentral lists this long non-coding RNA (104 nucleotides) under Ictidomys tridecemlineatus (thirteen-lined ground squirrel). RNAcentral's name for it is "lncRNA (ENSSTOG00000029405.1)". The record is from RNAcentral. Lineage: Eukaryota; Metazoa; Chordata; Mammalia; Rodentia; Sciuridae.
AGAUGAAGUCUUCUAAAUAUUCCUAGCCUCAAGUCCGUCUUGUUCUCUUUCUCUUGUCUCCUCCUGAACUUUGAUAACUCUCUGAAUUCUGUGUGUCCUUGGCU